Long non-coding RNA from Aegilops tauschii subsp. strangulata, 788 nucleotides. RefSeq lists it as uncharacterized. The record is from RefSeq and is a predicted model, not a curated record. Lineage: Eukaryota; Viridiplantae; Streptophyta; Magnoliopsida; Poales; Poaceae.
GGUUACCCACGUGUAACACUCUCGUAUUUUCCUCACUGCCUUAGUUGAUCCCCUUUCUGUCUCUCUUCUCUCGGCUCAUAGACUUCCCCGAAAUGGGAUGUUGACUGGUCUCCUCGCCGGCGAAGUUCAAUCUCGUCGCUGGCGACCACAGAAUGGAUCCACGAUGAACCUCCGCUCCUCUUCUUGGUUUUAGUUCAUCUGAUUAUGCAUCCUCUGGUCAAGGCUUCAAACCCUAGCCACUGUGGUCUGGAUCGAGGCGGAUUGGAGUUGCUGCACGGACUGCUCGGCGCAGUGGUUCUCUCAGGCGGAGUAGGAUACAGGCCUUUGUAAUCGUUAUUGCAGCCGGACUUCUACCACUGUGAGAAGUUGGUCGGCAAGACUGCAUUGGACGUCAAGUUGUACAUUGAUGGUGUGUCUUCGUCUGGAGUUGAGUUGCAUGUCCAGCCGUCAUCUUUAUCAUUCAAGCAGAGUUUCUCGAGCCAAUCAUCAAGAACAAAUGUUCUAUUAACUAAUUUUGUGUGCCAAAGCUGAUGUUACUAUCAUUGAGCUUGAAUCAAAAAAUAAGUCUUUUUCCAUAGGCUUCAUCUGCGUGAGAAAUCCAACGACAUCUGUAUAUUUGGAGAUUAAUUACAUGGCUGAUAGAAAUAUUAAUAGUCGAAAGUCAUAGGUACAACUAUAACAUACCUGCGCAUUGUAUAUCUUUUUCUGCCCGUUCUUGUAGUUUUCCUUGGUUGUGAAACUGAAGUAAAAAUCUGGGAAAACCUCUGCAGAUCCUUUAACCUCCUUUA